This 503-nucleotide ribosomal RNA is filed under the name uncultured Actinomycetes bacterium. RNAcentral's name for it is "bacterial SSU rRNA". It matches the Rfam family "Bacterial small subunit ribosomal RNA", at positions 355 to 871 of the family's 1533-position model. The record is from RNAcentral. Lineage: Bacteria; Bacillati; Actinomycetota; Actinomycetes.
UGGGGAAUAUUGCACAAUGGGCGAAAGCCUGAUGCAGCAACGCCGCGUGCGGGAAGAAGGCCCUAGGGUUGUAAACCGCUUUCAGCAGGGAAGAAAAUGACGGUACCUGCAGAAGAAGGUGCGGCCAACUACGUGCCAGCAGCCGCGGUGACACGUAGGCACCAAGCGUUGUCCGGAUUUAUUGGGCGUAAAGAGCUCGUAGGCGGUUUCGUAAGUCGGGUGUGAAAACUCUGGGCUCAACCCAGAGACGCCACCCGAUACUGCGAUGACUUGAGUACGGUAGGGGAGCGGGGAAUUCCUGGUGUAGCGGUGAAAUGCGCAGAUAUCAGGAGGAACACCAGUGGCGAAGGCGCCGCUCUGGGCCGUAACUGACGCUGAGGAGCGAAAGCGUGGGUAGCAAACAGGAUUAGAUACCCUGGUAGUCCACGCCGUAAACGUUGGGCACUAGGUGUGGGUCUCGAACCAACGAGAUCCGCGCCGUCGCUAACGCAUUAAGUGCCCCG